Non-coding RNA from Rattus norvegicus (Norway rat), 1440 nucleotides. The record is from the annotation of a RefSeq genome assembly. NCBI's taxonomy places the organism in Eukaryota, Metazoa, Chordata, Mammalia, Rodentia, Muridae.
AUGAAGAGGCUGCUGCGCUCUCUGCUGGGGCUUCUGUGCACCCAGGUUUGCUGGGUGAAAGGGCAGCAAGUGCAGCAGAGUCCUGUGUCCUUGGUUCUGCAGGAGGGAGAGAACGCAGAGCUGCAGUGCAAAUUUUCCACCACAGCAACUGAGCUGCAGUGGUUUUUCCAACGUCCUGGGGGAAGCCUGGUCAGCCUGUUGAACAAUCCUUCUGGGACAAAGCAGAGUGGAAGACUGACAUCCACGACAGUGGUUAAGGAACGAAGCAGCUCUUUGCACAUUUCUUCCUCCCAGACCACAGACUCAGGCACUUAUUUCUGUGCUAUGAAUCCACAGUGCUCCCCACACACCUGCAGCCUGUACACAAAACUUCAGCUGGGUGGGUGAGUGCCUAACCAGUCACAAGACAUCAGGAAGCCACCACAGAAUGUCUGCCAGGGUUAAUAUCAUUUUUUUAUUUAUAUUUGUAGAAUUUUAACUUCAUGUAAGCUUUGGCCUAUGAGGUUAAGGACUUUGGUUUUUAUCUUUAUUGUUCAAUACAUGCUUUGUUCUGAGGCAUAGAUGUCCAUUCUAGAACUAAUAGAGAGGCUGACAGGAGGUUUGAAUCAAUGUGAUCAUUUAAGCCACACUGCAAAGACAGCUGCUGUGCUCUCUGCUGGGGCUUCUGUGCACCCAGGUUUGCUGUGAGUCUGGCUGUCAGCAUUCAGGGCACCUAAGGAUCUGGCUCAGGAAAUGAAGAGGUGAGGGAAAGCUGCUCCAUUGUUCUGCAGAGCACCCAUCUUCUCAGAGGUCAUGGGAGUGUUUACAGGGCUCCUGGAUGCUGCAAUGACAACCAUCUGUGAAACAGCUAUUUCUCUGUUUCUAAUCAGUGGUGAAAGGGCAAGAAAUUGUAAGGAGAAACGGAGUGGAAAUCAAAGGCAGGCAUCCAGGUAGUACUGCUGUGGAUGGGGUCAGGGUUAGUGAAGAGAAAUCAAACUGCAGCAACAGCCAGAAGAUCAAGCCAUGUAAGCUAUAGGAGGCACAGAAAGGUGGAUGCUCCAGCAUUCUUAUCGCUGCUAUGAAAAAAUGCAACCUAGAGGGUGAAAGAAUGUAUUGUGCUUUUGCUUCCAGGUCAUAGUUCAUCGUUGGUGGUAAUCAAGGCAGGAACUCAAACAGGAGAUUCAAAUAGAAACCGUGGAGAAAGUCUGUUGCUAACUCACUCACAGACUCAUUCUUCAUUAGCUUCCUUACAUAGACCUGGUCACUUUCCCACAAAAUGGUGGCACCCACAGUGGGCUGGUCUCCAAUACAUCAAAAAAUGCUCCUUAGCAUUAUAGUGUAAUUUUAUUAAAUUUACAGAAAACUUUAGGGUAUAUUGAAGCUAUUGAAUCUUCCAGUUCAUUCUUUUGAGUUAUCUUUUCAUUCAUUUAACUUUACUUGUCACUGCUUUGAGAUUUUCUA